Molecule: ribosomal RNA, 253 nt
Filed under: uncultured bacterium
Lineage: Bacteria
Description: partial 16S ribosomal RNA
Rfam family: Bacterial small subunit ribosomal RNA
Source: RNAcentral
UACGGGGGGGGCAAGCGUUGUUCGGAAUUACUGGGCGUAAAGGGCUCGUAGGUGGCCAACUAAGUCAGACGUGAAAUCCCUCGGCUUAACCGGGGAACUGCGUCUGAUACUGGAUGGCUUGAGUUCGGGAGAGGGAUGCGGAAUUCCAGGUGUAGCGGUGAAAUGCGUAGAUAUCUGGAGGAACACCGGUGGCGAAGGCGGCAUCCUGGACCGACACUGACGCUGAGACGCGAAAGCAUGGGGAGCAAACAGG